GCUCCGUUCGUCUAGUGGCCGAGGACGUCGCCCUCUCACGGCGAAAACAGGGGUUCGACUCCCCUACGGGGUGCCA
This 76-nucleotide transfer RNA is filed under the name Clostridiales bacterium. RNAcentral's name for it is "tRNA-Glu". It matches the Rfam family "tRNA". Rfam says of the family: Transfer RNA (tRNA) molecules are approximately 80 nucleotides in length. Their secondary structure includes four short double-helical elements and three loops (D, anti-codon, and T loops). RNAcentral also lists the same sequence under 2 other names. The record is from RNAcentral. Lineage: Bacteria; Bacillati; Bacillota; Clostridia; Eubacteriales.